CAGUCACUUUUUCAAUUGAACGCUUGGAAAUCCGAUAUGUUGUCAAAAUAUUAGGCUAUAGACUCAGGAACUUGUAGAAACUUAGUAUGAAGCAAAAAAGGAAGAUAUUUAUUCAAAAGGGUAGUGUAAACCAAAAGGACAAAAUGUAUAUUGACUAUUAUAUUGGGCCCACUGGAAAAUUUGUGGUUUUCUCGAUUGUCUUUCUUUUAUUUGUUCUAUAUUCGACAUCAGUUACCCUCAAGGUAUAUUGGACGUUAAUACCAGCUUCUUCGUAUAUUGUUGUGUCCAUUUCCUAAAAAAGAAUUAGUUUUUAUGUUGUGUUCUUUACAUAAUUUUCUGAUCUGUGUAUACAAUAGCUGCUUCGUCUGAUAAUGUUUUACCCAAAGCAGGCAGAAGAACACAGCCGUAGGACUCAGUUGAUACAGUUGAGACCAGCUUGAGCAGUGGUGAACCACCAAAAUUUGGCAAAUAAAACUAAUCGUGUCUUCGAAUAUGUGACGCUAACAACAGUUUUACUGCCUCAGCAAAUAAGAUUUAUCAGCAAGUCCAUUUGUUGGACCAAUGAAGAUGCAAUUGCUCGAAGCAAUAUAGAGUAUGCAGAAAACUGGCCUAUUCGGCAUUUGAGCAGGCAUACAUUUGCUAAUCAGGCUCUUGGAGAGAAGACAGCCUUGUUGUGCAGACCAUGUGCUAAAGAAAGAGAGGUUUAACUUGAUCUUUAGCAAUGAAUUCAUUGUAAAUUGUGUUAGAUGUACUUUAUAAUGAAUUUAUGAUAUACAGUUCAUAAGUUCAGAAGCUUUUGAUUUGAUAUAUUUUGUUGGAAAUUUUAAGUAUUAAUCCAUUUUUGAAUUAACUGUUUCUCGUUGUU
This is a long non-coding RNA of Olea europaea var. sylvestris, 865 nucleotides long. RefSeq lists it as uncharacterized. Lineage: Eukaryota; Viridiplantae; Streptophyta; Magnoliopsida; Lamiales; Oleaceae. The record is from RefSeq and is a predicted model, not a curated record. The transcript is spliced from 2 exons.